This 127-nucleotide small RNA is filed under the name Marmota monax (woodchuck). Lineage: Eukaryota; Metazoa; Chordata; Mammalia; Rodentia; Sciuridae. The record is from RNAcentral.
GCUGGGUGGGGUGGCACACACCUGUAAUCCCAGUGGCUUGGGAGGCUGAGGCAGGAGGAUUGGAGGUUCAAAGCCAGCCUCAGUAAUUUAGUGAGGCCCUAAGCAACUCAGCAAGACCCUAUCUCUA